UACAGAGGGUGCAAGCGUUAAUCGGAAUUACUGGGCGUAAAGCGCGCGUAGGUGGUUUGUUAAGUUGGAUGUGAAAGCCCCGGGCUCAACCUGGGAACUGCAUCCAAAACUGGCAAGCUAGAGUACGGUAGAGGGUGGUGGAAUUUCCUGUGUAGCGGUGAAAUGCGUAGAUAUAGGAAGGAACACCAGUGGCGAAGGCGACCACCUGGGCUAAUACUGACACUGAGGUGCGAAAGCGUGGGGAGCAAACAGG
RNAcentral lists this ribosomal RNA (253 nucleotides) under uncultured bacterium. RNAcentral's name for it is "partial 16S ribosomal RNA". It matches the Rfam family "Bacterial small subunit ribosomal RNA", at positions 524 to 776 of the family's 1533-position model. The record is from RNAcentral.